Molecule: ribosomal RNA, 254 nt
Filed under: uncultured bacterium
Lineage: Bacteria
Description: partial 16S ribosomal RNA
Rfam family: Bacterial small subunit ribosomal RNA
Source: RNAcentral
UACGGGGGGGGGCAAGCGUUGUUCGGAAUUACUGGGCGUAAAGGGUUUGUAGGUGGCUGGCUAAGCCACACGUGAAAUCCCUCAGCUUAACUGGGGAACUGCGUGUGGGACUGGCGAGCUUGAGGACAGGAGAGGAACGCGGAAUUCCAGGUGUAGCGGUGAAAUGCGUAGAUAUCUGGAGGAACACCGGUGGCGAAGGCGGCGUUCUGGACUGUUUCUGACACUGUAAAACGAAAGCCAGGGGAGCAAACGGG